Molecule: ribosomal RNA, 357 nt
Filed under: Triticum aestivum (bread wheat)
Lineage: Eukaryota; Viridiplantae; Streptophyta; Magnoliopsida; Poales; Poaceae
Description: partial small subunit ribosomal RNA
Source: RNAcentral
AUGAUAUUCUUUGCCUUCUCUGUCUAUGACAGGAGCCUAGAGAAGCCAUCUAGUACGUACUGUCACCAAGUGGAGAUCACUUCUUGUCGAGAUCGAUCGAGCCUCUUCUCGAGCUCCCUGGUCCCAAUGUGUCAUGUGUUCCUCAACCUCAAUGCACCGUUCCUCUCCCCUUGCAGCCUCCUCUCUAAAACCGAAAGAAGAGAAAGAGCAAGGAUGUACACGCCUGCUGGAAAGUACCUACAACCACGCUGGCUAAGAAGAAUGCCUGAUCCUCCCUGUCUCUCACUUGACGUUCGACUCCCUCUUCCCCAAGCUCGCACCUGCACCUUCUUCUCCCUACCUCUCCUCCUCCCUUAA